Molecule: ribosomal RNA, 377 nt
Filed under: uncultured eukaryote
Lineage: Eukaryota
Description: partial 18S ribosomal RNA
Rfam family: Eukaryotic small subunit ribosomal RNA
Source: RNAcentral
CAAUAGCGUAUACUAAAGUUGUUGCAGUUAAAAAGCUCGUAGUUGGAUUUCGGGGCAGCCUGGCUGGUCCGCCGCAAGGCGAGUACUGGUCAGCCGCCCUUCCUCUCGAAAGCCCCGACUGCUCUUCGUUGCAGUGGUCGGGUAGUUCGGGACGUUUACUUUGAAAAAAUUAGAGUGUUCAAGGCAGGCCUACGCCUGAAUACAUUAGCAUGGAAUAAUGGAAGAGGACCUCGGUCCUAUUUUGUUGGUUUCCAGGGCCGAAGUAAUGAUUAAGAGGGACAGUUGGGGGCAUUCGUAUUUAAUUGUCAGAGGUGAAAUUCUCGGAUUUAUGAAAGACGAACAACUGCGAAAGCAUUUGCCAAGGAUGUUUUCAUUAA